This 70-nucleotide small RNA is filed under the name Escherichia coli. RNAcentral's name for it is "partial RtT sRNA". It matches the Rfam family "RtT RNA", at positions 60 to 130 of the family's 130-position model. Rfam says of the family: This family represents a bacterial cis-regulatory element known as RtT RNA. The exact function of RtT is unknown although it is thought that it may be involved in changing the cellular response in relation to amino acid starvation. The record is from RNAcentral. Lineage: Bacteria; Pseudomonadati; Pseudomonadota; Gammaproteobacteria; Enterobacterales; Enterobacteriaceae.
GAGAACGUUGCGCCAGCAACGGCCCGCAGGGCGAGCCACGAAGUGGCGAGUAAUCCUCUGGCACCGACCA